Onthophagus taurus is the source of this 1067-nucleotide non-coding RNA. NCBI's taxonomy places the organism in Eukaryota, Metazoa, Arthropoda, Insecta, Coleoptera, Scarabaeidae. The record is from RefSeq and is a predicted model, not a curated record.
GGUUUUUGAGUGAAAUCAAAACAAUUUAAAAUGAAUUUCAGGAAAUUUUUAACUAAUUCAAAUUGGAUUUUGACUAAAUUUUAAGAUAUCGUUAUAAAUAGAAAAUGGAAUCAAAAAUUUAUAAGAAUACUUGAGUGCACUCUCUCGUGGGCAACCAAUGAAUUGGUACUUGGAGAGAUGUUUAAGAGAGACCUCGUUCGUUUCAGCUUUAAUUUGUGGUGUUCUGCGAUCCUCGCAGGUGCUAGGUGUUGAACUAAAACGCGCCAAAAGCGCUUCACCCCUUUUAAUAUAGAAAAGCGAACCUGCGUCCAAUCCCGCGCUUCGAAACGAAAACGCGACGCCGACCAAUCCCAACAACGACGUCGACGACGCCGACGACAUCGUUGAGGUAACACUUUUUGUAUUUCUUGUAUAACCGGAAAUUUAUCAAUGGGACUCCAACAAAUUCCAUUGUGCACCUACGCAAUGUUUUACUAAAAAGAAUGACUUGAAAAGGUUUUGAUGAAUUCAUGAAACUUUUUGAUUGAUAGAGGCAAUCGCAUUUUUUUGAGCAUCCACAAAACCAUCUGGAAGUUGCAUAAAAGAAAUAAAUCGUUAAAUAACCUCAUAAAUAUAAACAAACAAUUUUUAAGUCAAAUUGGCAGAUUUAUUUAUGAGCUGAUAAUCAAUAAAUUAUCUCCUGCACACAAUUAACUUCAACAAUGUGCCAAUUAUCGCUGAUAUCAUUAACAUACUUUUCUGGUACUACACAAACGUUUUAAUGCUUUAACAAACAAAUCCCAAUGUAGAUAAACGUUAUUUUAUGUGAGUAUCGAAAAAAGCUUUUCAAAACCCAAGGUUUAUUUGUAGAGCUUUUACUGAUGGUUGUAAUUACUAUACAUUUUUAAUGAUAUCAAAAAGAAAUUAUUUAUUUAUUAAACAAUUUACAGAAAACUGUAAAAUUCACGUCAUUAAUUCAUAUGUAGUAACACCAAAUUAUUAGAGAUGGGGCUACUUCAACGUUCUUAAAAAAAAUUUACGUUUUAAUUUUAAUAUAUUGAUCAAUUUUUAAAUUAAAAUUAAAUAAU